GCAAACUUGGUCAUUUAGAGGAAGUAAAAGUCGUAACAAGGUAACCGUAGGUGAACCUGCGGUUGGAUCAUUACCGAAAGGGAAAAAAUAGUUGGUCCCACAAACAUGGUGAUCUGCGUGAUCUGCGUUUGUGGUGAUGUGCUGAUACCGCUUGACCUGGAAUGCCCAACGAACCUUUUGUGAACUGUCUUGUCUCUGGCGGCGGGGUGGUGGUAAGUGGUGUUUGCGAUUUUUCGCCCACAUCCUCCCAUCUGUCAGCUUGGGGAAACCCCUUGGGGUGUCCCUUCGCCGUGGACAAACCGCCAACCACGUCUACAACCUUUAGUCCAUUUUUGUUGUCUUACCUGCAUCUGUGUAUUGAAUACAGAAACAACUUUUGGCAACGGAUCUCUUGGCUCUCGCAUCGAUGAAGAACGCAGC
Molecule: unclassified non-coding RNA, 420 nt
Filed under: uncultured fungus
Lineage: Eukaryota; Fungi
Description: partial contains small subunit ribosomal RNA, internal transcribed spacer 1, and 5.8S ribosomal RNA
Rfam family: Eukaryotic small subunit ribosomal RNA (bases 1-73)
Source: RNAcentral